Molecule: ribosomal RNA, 253 nt
Filed under: uncultured bacterium
Lineage: Bacteria
Also listed under: 1 other name
Description: partial 16S ribosomal RNA
Rfam family: Bacterial small subunit ribosomal RNA
Source: RNAcentral
UACGUACUGUGCGAACGUUAUUCGGAAUCACUGGGCUUAAAGGGUGUGUAGGCGGCCCGAUCAGUAGGGUGUGAAAGGCUUCGGCUCAACCGGAGCACUGCGCUCUAGACUUUCGGGCUCGAGCAAGACAGGGGUGUGCGGAACUUCCAGUGGAGCGGUGAAAUGUGUUGAUAUUGGAAGGAACACCGGUGGCGAAAGCGGCACACUGGGUCUUGUCUGACGCUGAGACACGAAAGCCAGGGGAGCGAACGGG